ACGGAGGGUGCAAGCGUUAAUCGGAAUUACUGGGCGUAAAGCGCGCGUAGGUGGUUUGAUAAGCGAGAUGUGAAAGCCCCGGGCUCAACCUGGGAACGGCAUUUCGAACUGUCAGGCUAGAGUAUGGUAGAGGAGUGUGGAAUUUCCUGUGUAGCGGUGAAAUGCGUAGAUAUAGGAAGGAACACCAGUGGCGAAGGCGGCACUCUGGACCAAUACUGACACUGAGGUGCGAAAGCGUGGGGAGCAAACAGG
Molecule: ribosomal RNA, 252 nt
Filed under: uncultured bacterium
Lineage: Bacteria
Description: partial 16S ribosomal RNA
Rfam family: Bacterial small subunit ribosomal RNA
Source: RNAcentral